GUAGGAGAAAUUGCUGAUGCUUUAUCAAGAAAGAAAAUGUGGGAUAACACUGUGUUCUUAUUCAUGAGUGAUCACGGUGCUGCAGUUAUGCCAAACAACUGUUGGGACACUAUUGGUGGGAGUAACCUACCUUACAGGGACGGAAAAGGUUCAUAUUUCGAGGGAGGUAUAAAAAGUGCUGCUUUUAUCUGGACUCCAUGGUUAACUGAUGAACAAAGAGGA
Long non-coding RNA from Bolinopsis microptera, 222 nucleotides. RefSeq lists it as uncharacterized. NCBI's taxonomy places the organism in Eukaryota, Metazoa, Ctenophora, Tentaculata, Lobata, Bolinopsidae. The record is from RefSeq and is a predicted model, not a curated record. The transcript is spliced from 3 exons.